Molecule: long non-coding RNA, 279 nt
Filed under: Physcomitrium patens
Lineage: Eukaryota; Viridiplantae; Streptophyta; Bryopsida; Funariales; Funariaceae
Description: long non-coding RNA (PPAT_LNC011135)
Source: RNAcentral
UACCUCCAUAAUCUCGCUUUACAGUGGUACCUCCCCAAAAUCCUUAAAUCCUUCAACAAUCUUUGGCAAUGGUUUCUCCCUCAACCUAUCUCGAUUCCGUUCAUGGUUAGGAGGUACUGUUAGAAAUUGUACAGCUUUCCUCCCAUCUUCGCUCCGUACCCUUGCAUAAGCAGAACCAUCGUCAAGUACCUUUGUUUCCAUCCGUGUUGCCGUGAUAUAAGGUUGUCUUAAAAUCAACGGAUAAGACGUUGUAUCUUGAACGAAGAAAUGUUGCUCCGU